GCCCAGAUAGCUCAGGUCUGUGUAGAGCAUCAGACUUUUAAUCUGAGGGGUCCAGGGUUCAAGUCCCUGUUUGGGCG
Non-coding RNA from Oncorhynchus mykiss (rainbow trout), 77 nucleotides. Lineage: Eukaryota; Metazoa; Chordata; Actinopteri; Salmoniformes; Salmonidae. The record is from the annotation of a RefSeq genome assembly.